Long non-coding RNA from Alosa sapidissima (American shad), 158 nucleotides. RefSeq lists it as uncharacterized. The transcript has 3 exons. The record is from RefSeq and is a predicted model, not a curated record. NCBI's taxonomy places the organism in Eukaryota, Metazoa, Chordata, Actinopteri, Clupeiformes, Clupeidae.
GUGUAUUUUCUUUCAUUGGCUAAUGCGGGCAAUGGGGGUAGAAGAUCAUUUUCACGUGCAGCAUGCAUAUGCAACUUGGAGUGAGCUAUAGUAUUUCGAAAGGAACAAGUAUUAAACAGUUUCUCGGUGAAUGAGACCUUUAAACAAAAAUUGUAAAG